RNAcentral lists this ribosomal RNA (442 nucleotides) under uncultured bacterium. Its description in RNAcentral is "bacterial SSU rRNA". It matches the Rfam family "Bacterial small subunit ribosomal RNA", at positions 958 to 1399 of the family's 1533-position model. The record is from RNAcentral.
AACGCGAAGAACCUUACCUGGAUUUGACAUCUCUGGACAACCGUAGAGAUACGGCUUUCGUAGCAAUACGACCAGAAGACAGGUGCUGCAUGGCUGUCGUCAGCUCGUGUGGUGACAUGUUGGGUUAAGUCCCGCAACGAGCGCAACCCUUGUCCUUAGUUGCCAGCAUUUAGUUGGGCUCUCUAAGGAGACUGCCGUGGUUAACACGGAGGAAGGUGGGGAUGACGUCAAGUCCUCAUGGCCUUUAUAUCCAGGGCGACACACGUGAUACAAUGGACGGUACAGAGGGAUGCGAACCCGCGAGGGGGAGCCAAUCUCAAAAAGCCGUUCUCAGUUCGGAUUGGAGUCUGCAACUCGACUCCAUGAAGUUGGAAUCGCUAGUAAUCGAAGAUCAGCACGCUUCGGUGAAUACGUUCCCGGGCCUUGUACACACCGCUCGCGA